AACAACACAAUUUUCACACGCACAAAUAUUUCAAAAAAAAUCAAAACCCUAGCUGCCGUAGCCUAGAGAUAGUUACACCCUCAUUCCAUUUUUGAAUCCAUGUUAGCCACCGUAUAGUUUUAAUACUUUCAUAACUGAAACAUGCUUUGUUAUUGCUUUUCAUUCUAAUUCCCUUUGCUGAAACAAUUCAAUUCCCUGUCCAUUACUUCGUUAUUGCUUUUCAUUCUAAUUCCCUUUGCAAUUAUAUUAUUAUAUGUUUCUUAUUUAAGUGCUUUACGUUAAUAUUUCAUGUCUUUAUUUCAUAUUGCUACUGUCAUGUGCUAUUCUAAUUCACUUUCUUUGCCGGUUGCUAUUACUACGCAUAUAUUCCAAAACCUUAGUUUUCAUGCAAUUUUCGAUUCAGCCGUACAUACUUAUAUUGAUUUCUCAGUUGCUGCUGCUAUGUUUUGAUUGAUUGCUGAUCCUUUUGUUUCAUUAUUGCUGCGUUUCCAAUUGUUUGAACUCAUAUUGCCGUGGUUUCUUUCUUCUUUUAAAGUUUCCAUUUUCUCACAGAAGUUCUAACACUGUCGUUCCAAUUUUUUCAGUUGCUGGGUAAUUAAUUUGCUGCGUUUGUUUUUCUUUGCUUAAAGUUGUCAUCUCUUAACAGGAAAUUAAGUUGUGAGGACGUGGUUGAAGAGGUAGAAGAAAGAAAACAAGAACCCACACCCCC
RNAcentral lists this long non-coding RNA (709 nucleotides) under Medicago truncatula (barrel medic). RNAcentral describes it as "long non-coding RNA (MTRU_LNC007053)". Lineage: Eukaryota; Viridiplantae; Streptophyta; Magnoliopsida; Fabales; Fabaceae. The record is from RNAcentral.